RNAcentral lists this transfer RNA (62 nucleotides) under Petalocephala chlorophana. RNAcentral's name for it is "tRNA-Phe". Lineage: Eukaryota; Metazoa; Arthropoda; Insecta; Hemiptera; Cicadellidae. The record is from RNAcentral.
UAUUUUUAUAGCUCAUAUAGAGCAUUACACUGAAGAAGUAAAGGAAGUUUUAACUUAAAAAU